CCACCGAGCGGCGGGUAGA
This 19-nucleotide small nuclear RNA is filed under the name Arabidopsis thaliana (thale cress). RNAcentral's name for it is "snRNA_17714". Lineage: Eukaryota; Viridiplantae; Streptophyta; Magnoliopsida; Brassicales; Brassicaceae. The record is from RNAcentral.